Molecule: ribosomal RNA, 478 nt
Filed under: uncultured bacterium
Lineage: Bacteria
Description: partial 16S ribosomal RNA
Rfam family: Bacterial small subunit ribosomal RNA
Source: RNAcentral
GAUGAACGCUGGCGGCGUGCUUAACACAUGCAAGUCGAACGAGAAAUGGAGACGGACACCUUCGGGCGGAAGGCUUCAUUUCGAGUGGCGGACGGGUGAGUAACGCGUGGGUAACCUGCCUCAUACAGGGGGAUAACAGUUGGAAACGACUGUUAAUACCGCAUAAGACCACAGCACCGCAUGGUGCGGGGGUAAAAACUCCGGUGGUAUGAGAUGGACCCGCGUUCGAUUAGCCAGUUGGCGGGGUAACGGCCCACCAAAGCGACGAUCGAUAGCCGAUCUGAGAGGAUGGCCGGCCACAUUGGGACUGAGACACGGCCCAAACUCCUACGGGAGGCAGCAGUGGGGAAUAUUGCAAAAUGGGGGAAACCCUGAUGCAGCGACGCCGCGUGAGUGAAGAAGUACUUCGGUAUGUAAAGCCCUAUCAGCAGGGAAGAAAAUGACGGUACCUGGGGAAGAAGCCCCGGCUAACUACGUG